Long non-coding RNA from Amblyraja radiata (thorny skate), 593 nucleotides. RefSeq lists it as uncharacterized. The transcript has 2 exons. The record is from RefSeq and is a predicted model, not a curated record. Lineage: Eukaryota; Metazoa; Chordata; Chondrichthyes; Rajiformes; Rajidae.
GUCAAUGUAGGGAGUGAUUGAGAAAGUUGGAGAAAGGGGUGUGAAGGGGUCAUUCCUAAACCAAAUAUCCCAGGAAUACACGUUAAAAACUCCUGUGGAGAGAAGACAUUGAGUUAACAUUUCUGGUUGACUGGUUUUCCUUUUUUUUUAAAAGAUGUUUUAUUUAGAGAUACAGCAUGGAAACAGGCCCUUCGGCCCAUCCUGCCCACACAGACCUACAUGCCCUAUCUAUACUUGUCCCAUCUGCCCACGUUCGGUCCACAUCCCUCUAAGCUUUUCCCUUCCAUGUAGCUGUCCAAUUGUCUCUUAAAUGCUUGUGAUAGUACAUUCCCCAACCAUCUUCAACUAAUAAUGCAUCGAUCUUAAGGUGGUGUUUUACAGAUGACAAUAAAAUGCAAACACGUUUCCAAUUCUGUCAAAAAAUUUCAUUUCAAACCAAAGAUUGUUAGCUGUCGGGCCCUGAAGGUUUGUAACACAUUGAUUUAUGACAUACAGCAUCAUAUUUUGGGUACAGAGUGGAGAAUUAAGUGGUUUCUAAAUAUUUUGCAUUAAUGCCUAAAGUUUCUGUUAAUAAAGUUUUGAUUGUACAACUG